RNAcentral lists this long non-coding RNA (636 nucleotides) under Sus scrofa (pig). RNAcentral describes it as "lncRNA (ENSSSCG00025038204.1)". Lineage: Eukaryota; Metazoa; Chordata; Mammalia; Artiodactyla; Suidae. The record is from RNAcentral.
CCGAGGCCCCGCCCUCUGGCUGACUCGGAGCAGCCCAGCCAGGCAGCGGGCAACCAGGAAGGAACAAGGCAGACCCCCUGGCUUUGAGCAGAGAACAGGAGGCCCUCCGGAGAGGCCGGCGGUCCACGAGGGCAACUGUGAAACCAGGGACCCUGAGCAGACUUCUCUCCUUCACCUGAACUCUACGAGGAGAUGGAGCCUGGGUGCCAGGAGAGACCCCUGUGCCCGUCCCUCUCCUCCGGGAGCCCAGACGAAUGUGGGAUGUCUCUGAACGUCCUCCGGGAGGAGCCCCAUCUCAGAGCUGCUCCUCAGGGCCCGAGCCGAAGGACCGGGAUGCGGGGCUGGAGAGACAGGCCAUCCACGAACAGACAAAGGGGGGGCACCAAGCUCCACGAGAGGCAGGCCUGCGGCCCCAGGGAGACAACGGUGCCCUGGGACCAGGUGCCAAUGGAACGUGAGUGAUGCCAGCAGCUGCCAGGGGCCACUUUACAAAGGACGAGGGGAGCUGGGGCCAUAGGGCUGGAUGGUUGUUCCCAACACUGGGUAAUUUAAAGCAAGGAAAUGAUAGGCUCGAAUCAAAAUGUUCGCCUCAAGGCACAGAAUAAAAUUCAAGGCCAUUAUAUGAAAGAAUCUUUU